CCACGGUGAGGCCGGCGGCGGCGCGCUCUUCCUCGAGCCGCGUGGGGUCCAGGAGCCAGGUGGGCGCGGGCCCCGGCGCGAGGCUGAGCCCUUGGCCUGGCUCAGCAGCCCGGCGCGCGCGUACACGGGCCGUAGCCGCGUUGGGUCGCGGGUGCCGGGCGCCUCCUCCUCGUCGGCCGCGUACAGCUGCGGCGGCUGCGAUUCUUCAGGGCCGCGGAUGCGGCGGUGAUCCCCAGGCAUGGCGGUUCUUGGCGUGCGAACCCCUUCCGCCCAACGCCCUGCCGCAUCCACUGGUUCUUCCGUUGUUUAAAGACGCGCGGCUGCGCAUGGGCUGUCGAGAGAGCGGCGGGAGGCACUACAGCGCCCCUGGAGGCCCGGAGGGAGAACGGCCCGGUCCCAGUUGUGCAGGGUAGCCGGAUCCAUCCAUCUUGCUGGAAGGGAGGGGGGAGAGCAGCUCCAAGAAAGGCUUCUCUGCUUCCAACUACCUCCACCCCUCAUCUACUGAAUUAUGAACGCCUUGCUCCAAGUCACCCCACCUAUUUGGCCUCCACCUCCACAGACGUUUGAGGCAGCCCUAGGGGCUGUUCCCAAAAUUUUGGGUUCUGGGGCUGGACUAGGUGAACACCACAGCAGCCAGCAGGAGCCACAGCAUUUAUUCUACAGACGCCAAAGGCUGUCAAAAGAGCCAGCCCCUAUUGGGAAGAGGGAUAGAGAUCAUGCGGCAUUAAGUAUUGCACGUGGUCCUUUUAUUCUCUGCAGCAAAAACGAUUCCUACUUGCUGACGCGGAAAGCUCAGGUCUGGAGAGCCGUUAUCUAUAGAUGCGAGCGU
This 829-nucleotide long non-coding RNA is filed under the name Homo sapiens (human). RNAcentral's name for it is "HSALNT0232970". The record is from RNAcentral. Lineage: Eukaryota; Metazoa; Chordata; Mammalia; Primates; Hominidae.